AUUGAACGCUGGCGGCAUGCCUUACACAUGCAAGUCGAACGGUAACAGGUUAAGCUGACGAGUGGCGAACGGGUGAGUAAUGUAUCGGAACGUGCCCAGUCGUGGGGGAUAACUGCUCGAAAGAGCAGCUAAUACCGCAUACGACCUGAGGGUGAAAGCGGGGGAUCGCAAGACCUCGCGCGAUUGGAGCGGCCGAUAUCAGAUUAGGUAGUUGGUGAGGUAAAGGCUCACCAAGCCGACGAUCUGUAGCUGGUCUGAGAGGACGACCAGCCACACUGGGAUUGAGACACGGACCAGACUCCUACGGGAAGCAGCAGGGGGGAAUUGGGGACAAUGGGCGCAAGGAUAAACCAGCCAUGCCGCGGGAGGGAAGAAGGCCUGCGGGUUGUAAACAGCUUUUGUCAGGGAAGAAAAGGUUCUGGCUAAUACCUGGGACUCAGGACGGUACCUGAAGAAUAAGCACCGGCUAACUACGUG
Molecule: ribosomal RNA, 477 nt
Filed under: uncultured bacterium
Lineage: Bacteria
Description: partial 16S ribosomal RNA
Rfam family: Bacterial small subunit ribosomal RNA
Source: RNAcentral